CCUACGGGAGGCUGCAGUGGGGAAUAUUGCACAAUGGGGGAAACCCUGAUGCAGCGACGCCGCGUGAGUGAAGAAGUAAUUCGUUAUGUAAAGCUCUAUCAGCAGGGAAGAAGAAAUGACGGUACCUGAGUAAGAAGCCCCGGCUAACUACGUGCCAGCAGCCGCGGUAAUACGUAGGGGGCAAGCGUUAUCCGGAAUUACUGGGUGUAAAGGGAGCGUAGACGGUGAUGUAAGUCUGGAGUGAAAGGCGGGGGCCCAACCCCCGGACUGCUCUGGAAACUAUGUGACUGGAGUGCAGGAGAGGUGAGCGGAAUUCCUAGUGUAGCGGUGAAAUGCGUAGAUAUUAGGAGGAACACCAGUGGCGAAGGCGGCUCACUGGACUGUAACUGACGUUGAGGCUCGAAAGCGUGGGGAGCAAACAGGAUUAGAUACCCUAGUAGUC
This 442-nucleotide ribosomal RNA is filed under the name uncultured bacterium. RNAcentral describes it as "partial 16S ribosomal RNA". It matches the Rfam family "Bacterial small subunit ribosomal RNA", at positions 338 to 795 of the family's 1533-position model. The record is from RNAcentral.